UGGGGAAUUUUGGACAAUGGGGGCAACCCUGAUCCAGCCAUCCCGCGUGUGCGAUGAAGGCCUUCGGGUUGUAAAGCACUUUUGGCAGGAAAGAAACGUCAUGGGUUAAUACCCCGUGAAACUGACGGUACCUUCAGAAUAAGCACCGGCUAACUACGUGCCAGCAGCCGCGGUAAUACGUAGGGUGCAAGCGUUAAUCGGAAUUACUGGGCGUAAAGCGUGCGCAGGCGGUUCGGAAAGAAAGAUGUGAAAUCCCAGAGCUCAACUUUGGAACUGCAUUUUUAACUACCGGGCUAGAGUGUGUCAGAGGGAGGUGGAAUUCCGCGUGUAGCAGUGAAAUGCGUAGAUAUGCGGAGGAACACCGAUGGCGAAGGCAGCCUCCUGGGAUAACACUGACGCUCAUGCACGAAAGCGUGGGGAGCAAACAGG
This 429-nucleotide ribosomal RNA is filed under the name Acidobacteriota bacterium. RNAcentral's name for it is "Acidobacteria bacterium partial 16S ribosomal RNA". It matches the Rfam family "Bacterial small subunit ribosomal RNA", at positions 355 to 776 of the family's 1533-position model. The record is from RNAcentral. Lineage: Bacteria; Pseudomonadati; Acidobacteriota.